Molecule: long non-coding RNA, 1324 nt
Filed under: Coturnix japonica (Japanese quail)
Lineage: Eukaryota; Metazoa; Chordata; Aves; Galliformes; Phasianidae
Description: lncRNA (ENSCJPG00005021198.1)
Source: RNAcentral
AUGAUGAACCUCACCUUUUGUAAAUGCGUACACUCUAAGAAUAAUAGGAAAUCAGCAGGGCAGGAAGCUGUCAUCAGUGUAAUAAUGCCAUGGUCUGAAGCAGGUUGUCAAAGCUGGCAGAAAUUUGCCUACUUUGUUCUUAAAGCUCUCCAGAACAUUAGGAACAUUUUCUAUUUUAUUUUCAGUAUGCAAAGGUACAAUCAUUCAUAUACUCUUAAGUCCACCUACCUGCUUGCCUCUUGUGUUCCAGAGCAGAACUUGAAUCAUGUUGUCUGCUUUACAUCCGUGCAUUACUGUUACCACAAGAUCAGAAGAGAUGCAGAAGCCAUCAGAUCAGGCCAAGGGAAAUGUCAAUCUGAGAGAUCCAGUGAGAAGGAAGGAGAAUGGUUAGAAGUCCAGAGAACACUUCAGAAUUGGGGAUACAGUUAUGAACUCUGAGGAGAGACAAGGUAAAACUUUACAGAGAAAAAAAAUAUUUGUUUAAAAUGCCUAAAGAAGUGUUUAAUUUUUAGUUUAGCAUAGUUAUAUUAGUUUGGAUUUGGGAAAGAAGCAGAAGAGUGAGGCACUGAAUCAGUGCUCUUGAAGGUUUGGGGCUCUAGAUUAUUAAGUAGUUUAUUAAGUACAAACUAGAGAUGUAGAUACCUGUCAGAAAUGACAACUGAUGUUAUUUUUAAUUAACUUGUAGUCUCAAUCUCCUGUUAAGGUCUCUCUUUGUUCUGUUUUCUCUGUAUAUCCCUACACACUCAUCUCAGUUCUCUCUCACAUUCAAAAUCAGCCUCAAAACUUGACAUUGCUCUCUAAAAUUCUGAGCAGGGGAAGCACUGGCAGGUGGUUCCAGUUUCUUCUCCCUGGCCACUGACAAUAAUAGAUGAGGGAACAACACAGGGGAGGCUCAGACUGGACAUUAGGAAAAAUUUCUUUGCUGUCAGGGUGGUCAAACAGGAGCAGGCUUCCUGACAAAGAGGCUGAUGCUCCAAGCCUGUCAGGGUGCAAGAGGCAUUUAGAUAAUGCCAUCAGAAAAUGAUAUGAAGGCCCCUUCCAACUGAAACAGACUAUUCUAUUCUAUUCUAAUUUAAUCUGCUCCAAAGUGUCGUUGUCUUCUGUUUUUCCCUAUUGCCUUUACUCUUAGUGAUAAUAUGUAGUGAACACCAUUCACUAUGUUUAUGUUUACUUUCAUCUCUUCCUAACCUCUUUACAUUUAAAGUUCUUGUAAAAAGGAGAUUUCUGAAGUGGCAGCCUGGAUGUUAUGUUUGGUUUUGUGAAUUUUUUUGUUUUUAACAAGUUGCUGUAAGUUAGACACAAACACAGUAUUAAAAAAUAGCAU